GGGGCUGUAGCUCAAUUGGGAGAGCGUUUGACUGGCAGUCAAAAGGUAGGGGGUUCGAAUCCCCCCAGCUCCA
This 73-nucleotide transfer RNA is filed under the name Dehalococcoidales bacterium. RNAcentral describes it as "tRNA-Ala". It matches the Rfam family "tRNA". Rfam says of the family: Transfer RNA (tRNA) molecules are approximately 80 nucleotides in length. Their secondary structure includes four short double-helical elements and three loops (D, anti-codon, and T loops). Further hydrogen bonds mediate the characteristic L-shaped molecular structure. tRNAs have two regions of fundamental functional importance: the anti-codon, which is responsible for specific mRNA codon recognition, and the 3' end, to which the tRNAs corresponding amino acid is attached (by aminoacyl-tRNA synthetases). tRNAs cope with the degeneracy of the genetic code in two manners: having more than one tRNA (with a specific anti-codon) for a particular amino acid; and 'wobble' base-pairing, i.e. permitting non-standard base-pairing at the 3rd anti-codon position. Lineage: Bacteria; Bacillati; Chloroflexota; Dehalococcoidia; Dehalococcoidales. The record is from RNAcentral. RNAcentral also lists the same sequence under 3 other names.